CGGCGAACGGUCGCGUAACACGUAGGCAACCUGCCCGAAAGACCGGGACAACAUCUCGAAAGGGGUGCUAAUACCGGAUGUGACCCCGAGGAGACCUCUUCUUGGGAUUAAAGCAUUUAUGGCUUUCGGAGGGGCCUGCGGCCUAUCAGCUAGAUGGUGGGGUAACGGCCUACCAUGGCGACGACGGGUAGCUGGUCUGAGAGGAUGGUCAGCCGGACUGGGACUGAGAUACGGCCCAG
This 239-nucleotide ribosomal RNA is filed under the name uncultured bacterium. RNAcentral describes it as "partial 16S ribosomal RNA". It matches the Rfam family "Bacterial small subunit ribosomal RNA", at positions 96 to 334 of the family's 1533-position model. The record is from RNAcentral.